This 143-nucleotide unclassified non-coding RNA is filed under the name fungal sp. RNAcentral's name for it is "partial internal transcribed spacer region". The stretch from base 1 to 46 matches the Rfam family "Eukaryotic small subunit ribosomal RNA", at positions 1786 to 1831 of the family's 1831-position model. Lineage: Eukaryota; Fungi. The record is from RNAcentral.
AAGUCGUAACAAGGUUUCCGUAGGUGAACCUGCGGAAGGAUCAUUGGGAAGAGUGGGGGAAAGAUGUGGGAAUGUAGGGGAGAUAUGAGUGACAAAUAAUCGUUUAUUCAAUAUGACUAGCCACCUGGGAUCUCUGGGCUCUU